RNAcentral lists this ribosomal RNA (486 nucleotides) under uncultured bacterium. RNAcentral describes it as "partial 16S ribosomal RNA". It matches the Rfam family "Bacterial small subunit ribosomal RNA", at positions 30 to 507 of the family's 1533-position model. The record is from RNAcentral.
AUUGAACGCUGGCGGCAUGCCUUACACAUGCAAGUCGAACGGCAGCACGGGUGCUUGCACCUGGUGGCGAGUGGCGAACGGGUGAGUAAUACAUCGGAACAUGUCCUGUAGUGGGGGAUAGCCCGGCGAAAGCCGGAUUAAUACCGCAUACGAUCCACGGAUGAAAGCGGGGGACCUUCGGGCCUCGCGCUAUAGGGUUGGCCGAUGGCUGAUUAGCUAGUUGGUGGGGUAAAGGCCUACCAAGGCGACGAUCAGUAGCGGGUCUGAGAGGACGACCAGCCACACUGGGACUGAGACACGGCCCAGACUCCUACGGGAGGCAGCAGUGGGGAAUUUUGGACAAUGGGCGAAAGCCUGAUCCAGCAAUGCCGCGUGUGUGAAGAAGGCCUUCGGGUUGUAAAGCACUUUUGUCCGGAAAGAAAUCCUUGACUCUAAUACAGUCGGGGGAUGACGGUACCGGAAGAAUAAGCACCGGCUAACUACGUG